AAAUUGAAGAGUUUGAUCAUGGCUCAGAUUGAACGCUGGCGGCAGGCCUAACACAUGCAAGUCGAGCGGUAGCACAGAGAGCUUGCUCUCGGGUGACGAGCGGCGGACGGGUGAGUAAUGUCUGGGAAACUGCCUGAUGGAGGGGGAUAACUACUGGAAACGGUAGCUAAUACCGCAUAACGUCGCAAGACCAAAGUGGGGGACCUUCGGGCCUCAUGCCAUCAGAUGUGCCCAGAUGGGAUUAGCUAGUAGGUGGGGUAACGGCUCACCUAGGCGACGAUCCCUAGCUGGUCUGAGAGGAUGACCAGCCACACUGGAACUGAGACACGGUCCAGACUCCUACGGGAGGCAGCAGUGGGGAAUAUUGCACAAUGGGCGCAAGCCUGAUGCAGCCAUGCCGCGUGUGUGAAGAAGGCCUUCGGGUUGUAAAGCACUUUCAGCGGGGAGGAAGGCGUUAAGGUUAAUAACCUUGGCGAUUGACGUUACCCGCAGAAGAAGCACCGGCUAACUCCGUGCCAGCAGCCGCGGUAAUACGGAGGGUGCAAGCGUUAAUCGGAAUUACUGGGCGUAAAGCGCACGCAGGCGGUCUGUCAAGUCGGAUGUGAAAUCCCCGGGCUCAACCUGGGAACUGCAUUCGAAACUGGCAGGCUAGAGUCUUGUAGAGGGGGGGUAGAAUUCCGGGUGUAGCGGUGAAAUGCGUAGAGAUCUGGAGGAAUACCGGUGGCGAAGGCGGCCCCCUGGACAAAGACUGACGCUCAGGUGCGAAAGCGUGGGGAGCAAACAGGAUUAGAUACCCUGGUAGUCCACGCCGUAAACGAUGUCGAUUUGGAGGUUGUGCCCUUGAGGCGUGGCUUCCGGAGCUAACGCGUUAAAUCGACCGCACGGGGAGUACGGCCGCAAGGUUAAAACUCAAAUGAAUUGACGGGGGCCGCACAAGCGGUGGAGCAUGUGGUUUAAUUCGAUGCAACGCGAAGAACCUUACCUGGUCUUGACAUCCACAGAACUUUCCAGAGAUGGAUUGGUGCCUUCGGGAACUGUGAGACAGGUGCUGCAUGGCUGUCGUCAGCUCGUGUUGUGAAAUGUUGGGUUAAGUCCCGCAACGAGCGCAACCCUUAUCCUUUGUUGCCAGCGGUUAGGCCGGGAACUCAAAGGAGACUGCCAGUGAUAAACUGGAGGAAGGUGGGGAUGACGUCAAGUCAUCAUGGCCCUUACGACCAGGGCUACACACGUGCUACAAUGGCAUAUACAAAGAGAAGCGACCUCGCGAGAGCAAGCGGACCUCAUAAAGUAUGUCGUAGUCCGGAUUGGAGUCUGCAACUCGACUCCAUGAAGUCGGAAUCGCUAGUAAUCGUAGAUCAGAAUGCUACGGUGAAUACGUUCCCGGGCCUUGUACACACCGCCCGUCACACCAUGGGAGUGGGUUGCAAAAGAAGUAGGUAGCUUAACCUUCGGGAGGGCGCUUACCACUUUGUGAUUCAUGACUGGGGUGAAGUCGUAACAAGGUAACCGUAGGGGAACCUGCGGUUGGAUCACCUCCUUACCUUAAAGAA
RNAcentral lists this ribosomal RNA (1550 nucleotides) under Klebsiella pneumoniae. RNAcentral's name for it is "bacterial SSU rRNA". It matches the Rfam family "Bacterial small subunit ribosomal RNA". The record is from RNAcentral. Lineage: Bacteria; Pseudomonadati; Pseudomonadota; Gammaproteobacteria; Enterobacterales; Enterobacteriaceae.